UACAGAGGUCUCGAGCGUUAAUCGGAAUCACUGGGCUUAAAGGGUGCGUAGGCGGUUCCGUAAGUGCCUUGUGAAAUCCCAUGGCUCAACCAUGGAAUUGCUCGGUAGACUGCGGAACUUGAGGUCGGUAGGGGUCGCUGGAACUCUAGGUGGAGCGGUGAAAUGCGUAGAUAUCUAGAGGAACGCCAAAGGUGAAGACAGGCGACUGGGCCGAUUCUGACGCUGAGGCACGAAAGCGUGGGGAGCGAACGGG
RNAcentral lists this ribosomal RNA (253 nucleotides) under uncultured bacterium. RNAcentral's name for it is "partial 16S ribosomal RNA". It matches the Rfam family "Bacterial small subunit ribosomal RNA", at positions 524 to 776 of the family's 1533-position model. The record is from RNAcentral.